UACGAAGGGGGCUAGCGUUGUUCGGAUUUACUGGGCGUAAAGCGCACGUAGGCGGAUUGUUAAGUGAGGGGUGAAAUCCCAGGGCUCAACCCUGGAACUGCCUUUCAUACUGGCAACCUCGAGUCCGGAAGAGGUGAGUGGAACUCCUAGUGUAGAGGUGGAAUUCGUAGAUAUUAGGAAGAACACCAGUGGCGAAGGCGGCUCACUGGUCCGGUACUGACGCUGAGGUGCGAAAGCGUGGGGAGUAAACAGG
This 253-nucleotide ribosomal RNA is filed under the name uncultured bacterium. Its description in RNAcentral is "partial 16S ribosomal RNA". It matches the Rfam family "Bacterial small subunit ribosomal RNA", at positions 524 to 776 of the family's 1533-position model. The record is from RNAcentral.